CUGAACUUUCUUGGCCCCAAAAGAAUUUUUCAACCCUCCAGACUCACAUAUAUGCUAAGCUAAUACACCACCUCGUUCGAUAUAUUUGUUGUUGCAGUUUCAAUCUCUGAAUCAAUCUUCUCAGAAACAUUUCAGCUUGUCACAAAAAAUAUCUUCUACUCUUUCGACUAAUUAAUUUGUUGCAGCUUCGAAAUCCUCUCAAUCGAUUUCCAUAUGAAAUGAAUGGGCGUAAUGUUUGUUUUCCGUGGGAAUCAUCACAUGUACCCUGGAGGGAGACACGAUCAAUCAUCUGUGAUUCUCAGCAUGAUGAUAUCUCCUCUCAAAGAUGUGUUUUCUUCUUUUGAUGUACCAUCAGCCUGACUCUUGGUUUCUUCACAUGUUCUUGGUGGAACGGCAUCGAGCAUACCUGAAAACAAACCCAUCAUGUCACCUGUGGACCUAACUGGGAUACUAUGAGAAACAAGCAGCGAGCAGCAACUUGAAAAUUGAUAGUGUCCGUUAAUUCCUCCUUCGAAAGAUAGUUUCAUACUCAGCCACCUUUACUAGAAAUGCAAACUUUUAUACUAUGAAUUUGCAGGUAUCAGCUCACACCGUGUCAUCAAAGGAGGUCCACAUGAACGGCCGAUAUGAGCGUAUCCGUUGACAAUGGGUUUGACGGACUACAUGUUUGGUCCUCAAGGGAGAUAUUACGGGGAUCUGAAUAUUGGUCUAUCUUUAUCUUACAGUGCUGAUGAUGAAAAAACAAUACAUUCAGGAAAAAAAAAAGAAAAUCUUUAUCUUACAGCUAUUCAAGUACUUUUGAAAUGAAUGACAAUGUUUUCAUGAAUUUCUCUCUUGAUUCCAAGUUCAAUUCUUAAUUGAAAUAAUCUUUAGUAUCUUCGACAAAAUUAACACCUGCAGUGAAGUCUUGUUUCUGAUAACCUUGGAAACAUGUCUAGCAACCCACUAGACCUAGAAGAGAUCAGAAGGCAAUGUAAAAUGUCGGGCAGUCCUCAUUUAUAUCAGCGAAAAAGAAAAAAAAAAAAAAGCAAACAUAAAAAUUAGGGGCUCGCACCCUAAGUGAGAA
This is a long non-coding RNA of Papaver somniferum (opium poppy), 1066 nucleotides long. RefSeq lists it as uncharacterized. The record is from RefSeq and is a predicted model, not a curated record. The transcript has 2 exons. NCBI's taxonomy places the organism in Eukaryota, Viridiplantae, Streptophyta, Magnoliopsida, Ranunculales, Papaveraceae.